AGUCAUAUGCUUGUCUCAAAGAUUAAGCCAUGCAUGUCUCAGUACAAGCCAAAUUAAGGUGAAACCGCGAAAGGCUCAUUAAAUCAGUUAUGGUUCCUUAGAUCGUACCAAAAUUUACUUGGAUAACUGUGGUAAUUCUAGAGCUAAUACAUGCAAACAGAGUCCCGACCGGAGACGGGAGGGUCGCUUUUAUUAGAACAAAGCCAAUCGGUGGCGGGCAUCCGCUCGUCAUCGCGCAAUCUGGUGAAUCUGAAUAACUUUCUGCUGAUCGCACGGUCUCGCACCGGCGACGCAUCUUUCAAAUGUCUGCCUUAUCAACUGUCGAUGGUAGGUUCUGCGCCUACCAUGGUUGUAACGGGUAACGGGGAAUCAGGGUUCGAUUCCGGAGAGGGAGCCUGAGAAACGGCUACCACAUCCAAGGAAGGCAGCAGGCGCGCAAAUUACCCACUCCCGGCACGGGGAGGUAGUGACGAAAAAUAACGAUACGGGACUCAUCCGAGGCCUCGUAAUCGGAAUGGGUACACUCUAAAACCUUUAACGAGGAUCAAUUGGAGGGCAAGUCUGGUGCCAGCAGCCGCGGUAAUUCCAGCUCCAAUAGCGUAU
Molecule: ribosomal RNA, 603 nt
Filed under: Syncalyptinae sp. FC_F01
Lineage: Eukaryota; Metazoa; Arthropoda; Insecta; Coleoptera; Byrrhidae
Description: SSU rRNA
Rfam family: Eukaryotic small subunit ribosomal RNA
Source: RNAcentral